CAGCAGCCGCGGUAAUACAGAGGGUGCGAGCGUUAAUCGGAUUUACUGGGCGUAAAGCGUGCGUAGGCGGCUUCUUAAGUCGGAUGUGAAAUCCCUGAGCUUAACUUAGGAAUUGCAUUCGAUACUGGGAAGCUAGAGUAUGGGAGAGGAUGGUAGAAUUCCAGGUGUAGCGGUGAAAUGCGUAGAGAUCUGGAGGAAUACCGAUGGCGAAGGCAGCCAUCUGGCCUAAUACUGACGCUGAGGUACGAAAGCAUGGGGAGCAAACAGGAUUUGAUACCCGUGUAGUCCCUGUCUCUUAUAC
RNAcentral lists this ribosomal RNA (301 nucleotides) under uncultured bacterium. Its description in RNAcentral is "partial 16S ribosomal RNA". It matches the Rfam family "Bacterial small subunit ribosomal RNA", at positions 509 to 807 of the family's 1533-position model. The record is from RNAcentral.